RNAcentral lists this ribosomal RNA (504 nucleotides) under Neorhynchoplax bovis. RNAcentral describes it as "partial 16S ribosomal RNA". It matches the Rfam family "Archaeal large subunit ribosomal RNA", at positions 1950 to 2689 of the family's 2987-position model. The record is from RNAcentral. Lineage: Eukaryota; Metazoa; Arthropoda; Malacostraca; Decapoda; Hymenosomatidae.
CCUGCUCACUGAGUAAUUUUAAUAGCCGCAGUACUCUGACUGUGCAAAGGUAGCAUAAUAAUUAGAUUUUUAAUUGAAAUCUGGAAUGAACGGUUGGACAAGAUAAAUACUGUUUCUACUUUAAAGAUUGAAUUUAACUUUUAAGUUAAAAGGCUUAAAUUUUCUAAAAAGACGAUAAGACCCUAUAAAAUUUUAUAUUUAAAUUUAUAAAAUUAAAUUUUAUUAUAAAAGUUUUUUAAGUUUAUAGUAUUUUGUUGGGGUGACAAAAGUUUAAAGAUAAAUAAUUUCUUAAUGGAGUUACACUAAUAAGUGAUUUUUUGAUCCUAUUAUAUAGAUUUUAGAUUAAAUUACUUUAGGGAUAACAGCGUUAUUUUUCUUAAGAGUUCGUAUCAAAGGAAAAGAUUGCGACCUCGAUGUUGAAUUAAAUUUCUUCAUAGUGCAGAAGCUAUUAAUAGAAAGUCUGUUCGACUUUUAAAUAUUUACGUGAUCUGAGUUCACACCGGA